This 443-nucleotide ribosomal RNA is filed under the name uncultured bacterium. RNAcentral's name for it is "partial 16S ribosomal RNA". It matches the Rfam family "Bacterial small subunit ribosomal RNA", at positions 338 to 795 of the family's 1533-position model. The record is from RNAcentral.
CCUACGGGGGGCAGCAGUGGGGAAUAUUGGACAAUGGGGGGAACCCUGAUCCAGCGACGCCGCGUGAGUGAAGAAGUAUUUCGGGAUGUAAAGCUCUAUCAGCAGGGAAGAAAGGAAUGACGGUACCUGACUAAGAAGCCCCGGCUAACUACGUGCCAGCAGCCGCGGUAAUACGUAGGGGGCAAGCGUUAUCCGGAUUUACUGGGUGUAAAGGGAGCGUAGACGGUUACGCAAGUCUGGAGUGAAAGGCGGGGGCCCAACCCCCGGACUGCUUUGGAAACUGUAUAACUGGAGUGCAGGAGAGGUAAGUGGAAUUCCUGGUGUAGCGGUGAAAUGCGUAGAGAUUAGGAGGAACACCAGUGGCGAAGGCGGCUUACUGGACUGUAACUGACGUUGAGGCUCGAAAGCGUGGGGAGCAAACAGGAUUAGAUACCCCUGUAGUC